RNAcentral lists this ribosomal RNA (580 nucleotides) under uncultured Penicillium. RNAcentral describes it as "eukaryotic LSU rRNA". The stretch from base 202 to 354 matches the Rfam family "5.8S ribosomal RNA". Lineage: Eukaryota; Fungi; Ascomycota; Eurotiomycetes; Eurotiales; Aspergillaceae. The record is from RNAcentral.
AGGUGAACCUGCGGAAGGAUCAUUACCGAGUGAGGGCCCUCUGGGUCCAACCUCCCACCCGUGUUUAUUUUACCUUGUUGCUUCGGCGGGCCCGCCUUAACUGGCCGCCGGGGGGCUUACGCCCCCGGGCCCGCGCCCGCCGAAGACACCCUCGAACUCUGUCUGAAGAUUGUAGUCUGAGUGAAAAUAUAAAUUAUUUAAAACUUUCAACAACGGAUCUCUUGGUUCCGGCAUCGAUGAAGAACGCAGCGAAAUGCGAUACGUAAUGUGAAUUGCAAAUUCAGUGAAUCAUCGAGUCUUUGAACGCACAUUGCGCCCCCUGGUAUUCCGGGGGGCAUGCCUGUCCGAGCGUCAUUGCUGCCCUCAAGCACGGCUUGUGUGUUGGGCCCCGUCCUCCGAUCCCGGGGGACGGGCCCGAAAGGCAGCGGCGGCACCGCGUCCGGUCCUCGAGCGUAUGGGGCUUUGUCACCCGCUCUGUAGGCCCGGCCGGCGCUUGCCGAUCAACCCAAAUUUUUAUCCAGGUUGACCUCGGAUCAGGUAGGGAUACCCGCUGAACUUAAGCAUAUCAAUAAGCGGAGGA